Molecule: ribosomal RNA, 231 nt
Filed under: uncultured Staphylococcus sp.
Lineage: Bacteria; Bacillati; Bacillota; Bacilli; Caryophanales; Staphylococcaceae
Description: partial 16S ribosomal RNA
Rfam family: Bacterial small subunit ribosomal RNA
Source: RNAcentral
AGUAACACGUGGAUAACCUACCUAUAAGACUGGGAUAACUUCGGGAAACCGGAGCUAAUACCGGAUAAUAUUUUGAACCACAUGGUUCAAAAGUGAAAGACGGUCUUGCUGUCACUUAUAGAUGGAUCCGCGCUGCAUUAGCUAGUUGGUAAGGUAACGGCUUACCAAGGCAACGAUGCAUAGCCGACCUGAGAGGGUGAUCGGCCACACUGGAACUGAGACACGGUCCAG